GACGAACGCUGGCGGCGUGCUUAACACAUGCAAGUCGAACGGAAAGGCCCUGCUUUUGUGGGGUGCUCGAGUGGCGAACGGGUGAGUAACACGUGAGUAACCUGCCCUUGACUUUGGGAUAACUUCAGGAAACUGGGGCUAAUACCGGAUAGGAGCUCCUGCUGCAUGGCGGGGGUUGGAAAGUUUCGGCGGUUGGGGAUGGACUCGCGGCUUAUCAGCUUGUUGGUGGGGUAGUGGCUUACCAAGGCUUUGACGGGUAGCCGGCCUGAGAGGGUGACCGGCCACAUUGGGACUGAGAUACGGCCCAGACUCCUACGGGAGGCAGCAGUGGGGAAUAUUGCACAAUGGGCGGAAGCCUGAUGCAGCAACACCGCGUGCGGGAUGACGGCCUUCGGGUUGUAAACCGCUUUCGCCUGUGACGAAGCGUGAGUGACGGUAAUGGGUAAAGAAGCACCGGCUAACUACGUG
This 468-nucleotide ribosomal RNA is filed under the name uncultured bacterium. RNAcentral describes it as "partial 16S ribosomal RNA". It matches the Rfam family "Bacterial small subunit ribosomal RNA", at positions 28 to 507 of the family's 1533-position model. The record is from RNAcentral.